AGUGAACGCUGGCGGUAGGCCUACACAUGCAAGUCGAACGGCAGCACCGUAAGAGCUUGCUCUUACGGGUGGCGAGUGGCGGACGGGUGAGGAAUACAUCGGAAUCUACUUUUUCGUGGGGGAUAACGUAGGGAAACUUACGCUAAUACCGCAUACGACCUACGGGUGAAAGCAGGGGAUCUUCGGACCUUGCGCGAUUGAAUGAGCCGAUGUCGGAUUAGCUAGUUGGCGGGGUAAAGGCCCACCAAGGCGACGAUCCGUAGCUGGUCUGAGAGGAUGAUCAGCCACACUGGAACUGAGACACGGUCCAGACUCCUACGGGAGGCAGCAGUGGGGAAUAUUGGACAAUGGGCGCAAGCCUGAUCCAGCCAUACCGCGUGGGUGAAGAAGGCCUUCGGGUUGUAAAGCCCUUUUGUUGGGAAAGAAAAGCAGCAGGUUAAUACCCCGCUGUUCUGACGGUACCCAAAGAAUAAGCACCGGCUAACUUCGUG
RNAcentral lists this ribosomal RNA (491 nucleotides) under uncultured bacterium. RNAcentral describes it as "partial 16S ribosomal RNA". It matches the Rfam family "Bacterial small subunit ribosomal RNA", at positions 29 to 507 of the family's 1533-position model. The record is from RNAcentral.